GCCCAGAGCUCGCCAUUGGGCCUCGCUCCCGGGGUCCCGCGCGCCGGCCGUGCUGAUUGGCCGCUGGGGCUUCAUUCACGGCCCCCCUGCCGUCCGCGUACACACUCACGCCCCGGGGGCGCGGCCGCCACGUGGGGAGUGGCGCGGGGGUGGCACUGGGACCGCACCCCCUCUCGUCCUGGCUGCGUGGGCCCAGCUUUCCCCCCUCGCUGGAGACUCCGAGCCCGGCGGGUCCCACACUCCACGCGAGCUGAAUUCCCGCCCGUCUUUGGCAGGGGCGGCCGGAGGCGGCGGCGAGGAUGGCGGGCUCCGGGAGGCGCUCGGGCUCCGAGAAGCCGCUCAGCCCCGCGCUCCUCCCUCCGCAGUGCCGCUGCAGGCGGGCCGGGAUUCCGCGGGUCUCGGGAGGCUGCGAGCGAGCGGCGGCGCGGGUCCCCAGCUCGGUUCCAGAGCGGCUGCUCGCCUGGGCCGCCUCGCCUCCCGCAGCUUCCAGCGGGCACGGAGCUCUCCUCCGCGCGCCUCUCCGGCCCGUCUCGUUUUCCCCCUCCUUCCGCUAGACCCAGUGCCGCAACUCCGCCGACCUCCGCGGCCCUGAGAGCGCGUCGGCCGCGGGCAGAGUCAGACCCGCUUCACGCCUCGCGCAGGCUCCCCUUCUCCCGGGCACCGCGGCGCAGGUCUCGGAUGCUCCAUGAGGACUCUUGUGGAAGGAAGGUCAUUCUUCCAGCCAAGACCAAGCUGAUGAAUGGGACUGUCUCCCACUUUAUGUCUACACUGGGCUAGCCUCCUUAUUCCUCUCUUUCUUGCUAGCUAAUGCAGCCCAGCUUUGGAACAGUAACCACCUUCAAACGACCCAGUAAUGACAUUCCUAGGGUGUUGGUUGGGGUAUGUGUGCAUGGGGAUGAGGUCACAGGACUUCUCCUCCCGUCCAGUGCUAGAGUGUGGGGUUUGAGGUAAGACUUAGUGGACCUGGUCCUUAUAUCAACCCACUCCUUCCUCUGAUCCCCCCAGCCUCCUCUCCCUAUACAGAGCCAGCUGGGGUAGCCUGAGCAUCACUAUCUGCUGUGCCACAGAUGGCACAGAUGCCCUGUACUCCUGUUCAUGUGCCUCAUUCAUCGUCCCACUGAUGUGCCCUCCUCCCCUCCAUGCAGUAGUCUAGCCUGGAGUCAGGGGGCGGGACAGAAAGAUAUAGCUCCUUAGCUGUUACAAGUUGGGAGGGUCUGGAGACAGUUGGCUGGCUCAGCGCUGGCCUCCCUCAGCUUUCUCGGGAGCAGCAGGUGGAGGGUGGAAGUGGUGAGAGAGGAUUUAGGAAUUAUAUUUUCCCAGGGACCUCUUAGCAUCUUUAUGUAUCUCUGGUGGCAGACAUCUGUCUGAGCUUAGGGUAACAUCUGCCUGGGCUGGAGACAACAUCUGUUUGGGGCUGGGACACCUGGCUGAGCCCAGCACAUUAUUUGGCCCCGGGACAGCUUCUGUCUGGACCGAGGACAUGUGUCUGAACCUGGCACAGCAUCUGUCUGGGCCCGGUGCAACAUCUUCCUGGCCUGGGGGCAAUGUCUGUUUGAGCCCUGGACAUCUGUCUGACUUGGGGACGUCUGCUGAGCCUGGAACAAUACCUGUCUGUGCCUGGGGGUGGACUUGUCAUUGCAGAUAAAAUCACCGUCGAGUUUCAACUUUGGUUUGUAGCUGAGAACAGAGUAUGUGCCAGACUCACGUCCCUGCCCUCCUCUCUACCAGGGAAGGGCUCUUUGGUAGAGGGCCUCGUUUUACCUCCACUUGUAAGGUCGUUGGGCUGCUUGCUCUGGGGACCUCCAGGGACAGACAAAGCUGACACCCCAGUGCUCCGGGAAACCAAAGUUAAAAGAAUGUGUAAGCCAACAGGUCAUAAAUUGUAGUGACUGGUUAGGAUGGUUCUCCCUUCCUCCGGUCCCUUUGUUGAGUUGAAUCAGUGUGCUCCUCCAAGACACAACACAGACAUGUCACUUGCCUCCUGAGAAGCCUUCCAUUGCUCCCUCUUGUGGACAUCAUCAGGUCCAAAGCCCCCAGGGGCCCUGCCCUCUGAAUCCAGCAGCUUUGAGCUUCUGUUCCCACAAACACCCCAGGCCCUCGCGACACCCUUCCUUUGCACAAGCAGUUCCCUCUCCUUGGAAUGCCCACCUCCCCAUCACACUCUUCAAGUCCUAGUUCAAGGGUCACCUGUUCUGGGAAGUCUUUCCACUCUCUCUCUCGACUAUGCCACUGCCUCUGCCCUGCUUCCACACUGUGUCAUGCAGGUCACCUCUGUGUUAGCAUUUAUGGGCAUGCACAGCCAUUGCCAUCCACGUGUCUGUCUCUCCCAUAGGGCUGUGAGCUCCUGGGGGCAGCUGGCUCCAUUUCAUCUCUGUCUCCCCAGCACCCUGGUCUGUAGUGAUACCAGUAAAGGAUGCCUGCUUAAUGAUCAUGUGGUUGUGCUGCUGUGAUCUCAUUUCCUUCUUUUUUCAAAUGGGUGGGGUGGGGGGACACUGGCUUUCAGUCUCGGAAGAUGUGGGCUCCAGAGAAGAGGGCCAAUCUUCGUAUUCAUACCUGGUUUGUUGACUGAAGCUAAAGGUGCUGGGGAAUGGGCCGGGAGUGCCCUGGACGGGGCCUUUGGGAGCCUGGUCCUGCCCAGCAUCCUUUAUCCACGACGAAGAUGAAGAUGUAUAGGAUCCAAAGAUUCGACCCUUUUGACAGGAGCCAGGCAGGAGCUUUAAGGUCGAGGGGUGGCCACGAAUCCCGACCUAACAGCCUCUCUGUAGGCUGAAGGCUGUGUGCGUGGCACUAAAUCUAAGAAAGAGGACCUUUGCCUGGGUCCAGGCCCAAUCCUGAGGGCAGGUGGGAGAACUGAGGCCUGGCUUCGCUUGUAUGGAAAAGUUCCAGGGUUCCCACCUCUGCUUGUCCUGCCAGAGAGGGAAAGUCACGUAAGGUCUUAUUAAUAUAAACCUUGUGUCCAGAGCAGACUGCUCUCCCCGGUCCAGCCUACCGGGCCCCUGGCCAGGUUCAGAGGGACGCAGAUCCCCAGGAGAGCAUCUGAGGAGAGAGGCCGUGUAGGGAGGGGUGCAGAACCAGGAGGAGGGAGCUGAGGAGUUAAUGCUCCCGGGACAGUCGCUGCCUUGGUGGCUUUUAUGCCACCAAAUAGGAAAAUCUUUCUUGUUUUUGCUGAUGAUAAAACCAAUACAGGUUUGUGUGUCAAAAUUCUUUACUUCAGAAGUAUGUGAAGCCGAAAGUGGAAAUCCUCUGUUAAUCUCUCUGCCUUGCCCCUCGCCACUGCUCCUAUUGGCUAUACCUUUCCAGAACUUGUUUGCAUGGACCACACUAUUUAAUAAUGACAGCUGAGAUUUAUUGAGUGCCCGCUCUGUGCAGGACUUGUGCUCAGUGCUUCCAUCUGGGCUUGCACGGUGUGUCCUCAUGAGAACCCUGUGAGUCAGGUGUGACAAUUCUUCCCAUUUACAAAUGAAGAAACUGAGGCUCAGAGCGAUAUUAAUAAUAAUAGCCAUAUAUAUGGGGUGCUUCCUACAUCCAGGUACCAUUCUGAGCACUUUACACGUUACCUCCUUUAAUGCCUAUUGGAGCUGGUGUGUAAGAGGAUAGCUGGUGUGUAAUAGGCAAGCAAUAAAUGGUGGUUGGUGCCCCCAACUUGGAAGUUCGAGAAUCUCCGAUGAUGAAUCUGGGAUCAUUCGAUGGGUCUGUAGAUGGGAGGGCUCUUGUCCCAAACCUCCUGAGCCACAGGCAGCCUCCCUGGUGCGUGGGGAUGCUGACUCAGCAGUGAAAGAUGUAAAUUCCUACCUUGGUUUGCAUAUGAUUUACACGUUUUUAUUUAUGAGUGUCUUUGAUUAAUGUCAAAGUGCCUCUGUGAUUUUUCUGCCAGGUGUCAGGGCCCUGCAGAGGGCAUGGCUGGUGUAGACUGGCCGCAGGCUCUGAGUGUGCACGUGUCAGAGGCUGCUGGGUGGGGGAAAGUGAC
RNAcentral lists this long non-coding RNA (3967 nucleotides) under Equus caballus (horse). RNAcentral's name for it is "lncRNA (ENSECAG00000033909.3)". The record is from RNAcentral. Lineage: Eukaryota; Metazoa; Chordata; Mammalia; Perissodactyla; Equidae.